This 907-nucleotide ribosomal RNA is filed under the name uncultured bacterium. RNAcentral describes it as "bacterial SSU rRNA". It matches the Rfam family "Bacterial small subunit ribosomal RNA", at positions 10 to 873 of the family's 1533-position model. The record is from RNAcentral.
AGUUUGAUCAUGGCUCAGAACGAACGCUGGCGGCGUGCCUAACACAUGCAAGUCGAACGAGAAACCUUGGGCUUGCUCAGGGGAGUAAAGUGGCGAACGGGUGAGUAACGCGUGGGUAACCUGCCCUUGAAUCUGGGAUAACUUCGCGAAAGCGUUGCUAAUACCGGAUAUUGCCCUAUUGGUUGUGACCUUUAGGGUGAAAGGUAACCUCUUCAUGAAAGUUGUCGUUCAAGGAUGGGCCCGCGUACCAUUAGCUUGUUGGUGGGGUAACGGCUCACCAAGGCAACGAUGGUUAACUGGUCUGAGAGGAUGAUCAGUCACACUGGAACUGAAACACGGUCCAGACUCCUACGGGAGGCAGCAGUGGGGAAUUUUGCGCAAUGGGGGAAACCCUGACGCAGCAACGCCGCGUGAGUGAAGAAGGCUUUCGGGUCGUAAAGCUCUGUCAAGUGGGAAAAAAGUCUUUCGAUUAAUAGCCGGAAGAUCUGAUGGUACCACUGGAGGAAGCACCGGCUAACUCCGUGCCAGCAGCCGCGGUAAUACGGAGGGUGCAAGCGUUGUUCGGAAUUACUGGGCGUAAAGGGCGUGCAGGCGGGUUGGUAAGUCAGAUGUGAAAGCCCUGGGCUCAACCCAGGAAGUGCAUUUGAAACUGCCAUCCUUGAGUAUGGGAGAGGAGAGUGGAAUUCCCAAUGUAGAGGUGAAAUUCGUAGAUAUUGGGAGGAACACCCGUGGCGAAGGCGACUCUCUGGACCAAUACUGACGCUGAGACGCGAAAGCGUGGGGAGCAAACAGGAUUAGAUACCCUGGUAGUCCACGCCGUAAACUAUGAGAACUAGGUGUAGCGGGUAUUGACCCCUGCUGUGCCGAAGUUAACGCAUUAAGUCUCCGCGCUGGAGGGGGGGCGAAA